RNAcentral lists this ribosomal RNA (224 nucleotides) under Paenibacillus sp. FSL H7-0326. RNAcentral describes it as "partial 16S ribosomal RNA". It matches the Rfam family "Bacterial small subunit ribosomal RNA", at positions 1 to 215 of the family's 1533-position model. Lineage: Bacteria; Bacillati; Bacillota; Bacilli; Caryophanales; Paenibacillaceae. The record is from RNAcentral.
UUUUUCGGAGAGUUUGAUCCUGGCUCAGGACGAACGCUGGCGGCGUGCCUAAUACAUGCAAGUCGAGCGGAGUAAGGUGAAACUUGUUUCACCUAGCUUAGCGGCGGACGGGUGAGUAACACGUAGGUAACCUGCCCAUAAGACUGGGAUAACUACCGGAAACGGUAGCUAAUACCGGAUAGGUUCUUCUCUCGCAUGGGAGGGGAAAGAAAGACGGAGCAAUC